RNAcentral lists this ribosomal RNA (587 nucleotides) under uncultured bacterium. Its description in RNAcentral is "bacterial SSU rRNA". It matches the Rfam family "Bacterial small subunit ribosomal RNA", at positions 338 to 916 of the family's 1533-position model. The record is from RNAcentral.
CCUACGGGAGGCAGCAGUAGGGAAUCUUCCACAAUGGACGAAAGUCUGAUGGAGCAACGCCGCGUGAGUGAAGAAGGUUCUCGGAUCGUAAAACUCUGUUGUGAGGGAAGAACAAGUACCGGAGUAACUGCCGGUACCUUGACGGUACCUCAUUAGAAAGCCACGGCUAACUACGUGCCAGCAGCCGCGGUAAUACGUAGGUGGCAAGCGUUGUCCGGAAUCAUUGGGCGUAAAGCGCGCGCAGGCGGUCCCUUAAGUCUGAUGUGAAAGCCCACGGCUCAACCGUGGAGGGUCAUUGGAAACUGGGGGACUUGAGUGCAGAAGAGGAAAGCGGAAUUCCAAGUGUAGCGGUGAAAUGCGUAGAGAUUUGGAGGAACACCAGUGGCGAAGGCGGCUUUCUGGUCUGUAACUGACGCUGAGGCGCGAAAGCGUGGGGAGCAAACAGGAUUAGAUACCCUGGUAGUCCACGCCGUAAACGAUGAGUGCUAAGUGUUAGGGGGUUUCCGCCCCUUAGUGCUGCAGCUAACGCAUUAAGCACUCCGCCUGGGGAGUACGGUCGCAAGACUGAAACUCAAAGGAAUUGACGG